Molecule: small nuclear RNA, 198 nt
Filed under: Marchantia polymorpha subsp. ruderalis
Lineage: Eukaryota; Viridiplantae; Streptophyta; Marchantiopsida; Marchantiales; Marchantiaceae
Description: U2 spliceosomal RNA
Rfam family: U2 spliceosomal RNA
About the family: U2 is a small nuclear RNA (snRNA) component of the spliceosome (involved in pre-mRNA splicing). Complementary binding between U2 snRNA (in an area lying towards the 5' end but 3' to hairpin I) and the branchpoint sequence (BPS) of the intron results the bulging out of an unpaired adenosine, on the BPS, which initiates a nucleophilic attack at the intronic 5' splice site, thus starting the first of two transesterification reactions that mediate splicing.
Source: Rfam by way of RNAcentral
AUGCCUUUUCCGGCCUUUUGGCUUAGAUCAAGUGUAGUAUCUGUUCUUAUCGGUUUAAUAUCUGAUACGAGGGUCAUAGACCCUCACGAUAUUAAUCUAAUUUCUCUCACGGGUGCGCGUCCAACGGGGCAGCUUGCUGUUUCGGACUCGCCAGCGUCGCCUUGAUAUAGCACUAAUUCCUUGGCAGGCGCAGCCCUC